GAUAUGGCUCAGGAUGAACGCUAGCUACAGGCUUAACACAUGCAAGGUCGAGGGGCAGCAUGGUCAAAGCUUGCUUGACUGAUGGCGACCGGCGCACGGGUGAGUAGCGCGUAUCCAACCUGGCCCAUAGUAGGGAAUAGCCCGGCGAAAGUCGGAUUAAUGCCCUAUGUUCUUACAGCGGACAUCUAACGUAAAGCAAAGAUUUAUCGCUAUGGGAUGGGGGAUGCGUCUGAUUAGGCUUGUCGGCGGGGUAACGGCCCACCGAGGCGACGAUCAGUAGGGGUUCUGAGAGGAAGGUCCCCCACAUUGGUACUGAGACACGGACCAAACUCCUACGGGAGGCAGCAGUGAGGAAUAUUGGUCAAUGGGCGUGAGCCUGAACCAGCCAAGUAGCGUGCAGGACGACUGCCCUAUGGGUUGUAAACUGCUUUUAUAGGGGAAUAAAGUGGGGCACGUGUGCCUUUUUGUAUGUACCCUAUGAAUAAGGACCGGCUAAUUCCGUGCCAGCAGCCGC
RNAcentral lists this ribosomal RNA (514 nucleotides) under uncultured bacterium. RNAcentral's name for it is "bacterial SSU rRNA". It matches the Rfam family "Bacterial small subunit ribosomal RNA", at positions 15 to 518 of the family's 1533-position model. The record is from RNAcentral.